UUGACAACUGCCACCUAUCCUGAAAAAGGGAGCUUUCCCAAGGUGGGAAAAAACUCCUCAUUCCCAGGUUAAACGCCACCUGUCCUUACUUAAAGAAGAGUGAUGAUAUACAAACAUCCAUACAUGGCAUACAUCCUUCUACACACUCCCAUGUGGCAUUUUUAAAUAAUUUUAUUAAGGGUAAUUUUGUCCAUUCACUCUCUUCCUUCACCCAUCUCCUCAUGUGACUUCUUUCACCCCUUCUAUCUCUCUCUCUCUCUCUGAACUCUCAUCCGCUCUUUCUCUCUCAAUCCAACCUCACCACUCCCUUUUCCUCCGAUCAGCCACCACCACUCUCCGUCGUCGGCAUUACCUUCGCUGACGUGAUUCUGUCUUUCCGUCGUCGUCGAACUCCUCUCACGUCUACUUAGCUCUCGCUGUUUCGACUGAGAUCCACCAUGGUGGUGAUGGUUUACGUGGUUGUUAGUAAGUUUAAUUGUAAGUCUUCAGAUAAAACAACUAACAAGAACAUGGUUGUGGAUGUUUUCUGUUUUCAUAUUCUGUUUCUGGUAUAUUAUGUUCUUUAUGCACAUAUCAAGCUUGUACAUGUGAAGAUGUUGAAGAAGAAAUUGGUGAAAGCUUUUAUGUUCCAUUAAAUAGUCAGCUCAAUGAUGUUGGUUUAGCAAUAUAGCCCCAUUUUCCAAGGCUGGAUUCUUCAGUAAGAUUUCGUUUUGGUGGUUGAAUCCAUAGUUUAUUUUUUUGUAGAAGGAGAGACCGGAAAAGGGAAAAGAGAGACAGGAAAGAGAAACAAGAAAAUAAGAAAAAUAAAAUAAAAUGCCACAUGGAGUGGUACAAAGGUGGUAUAGGAAUAAGGGUGUUUAUGUAUAAUUAUCUCUUAAAGAAUGAUAUUUGAUACUUUGUUGUCUAGAGUAGAUACAUAUAUAAUGUAUAAAACGAAUAAGAUGAUAUUUAUUAAAAUAUUUAUAUAGAUUAAAAUUGUAUAAUUCUAAUAAUUACUUUAUCAAAUAAAAAUUUGUUUCUCCACAUACAUGUGUAUUCACACACAUGCAC
This 1050-nucleotide long non-coding RNA is filed under the name Medicago truncatula (barrel medic). RNAcentral describes it as "lncRNA gene50000". Lineage: Eukaryota; Viridiplantae; Streptophyta; Magnoliopsida; Fabales; Fabaceae. The record is from RNAcentral.